GAUAAACGCUGGCGGCGUGCCUAAUGCAUGCAAGUCGAACGGUCUAGUUUCUUCGGAAGCUAGGUAGUGGCAAACGGGUGAGUAACACGUGGGGAUCUGCCCAGUAGUGGGGAACAACUCCUCGAAAGAGGAGCUAAUACCGCAUACGGUCGAAGGACUAAAGCUCGCAAGAGCGCUAUUGGAGGAACCUGCGGCUGAUUAGCUAGUUGGUGGGGUAAAGGCCUACCAAGGCGANGAUCAGUAGCUGGUCUGAGAGGAUGGACAGCCACACUGGGACUGAGAUACGGCCCAGACUCCUACGGGAGGCAGCAGCAAGGAAUUUUCGUCAAUGGGGGAAACCCUGAACGAGCAACGCCGCGUGGG
RNAcentral lists this ribosomal RNA (363 nucleotides) under uncultured bacterium. RNAcentral's name for it is "bacterial SSU rRNA". It matches the Rfam family "Bacterial small subunit ribosomal RNA", at positions 28 to 405 of the family's 1533-position model. The record is from RNAcentral.